Molecule: transfer RNA, 66 nt
Filed under: Laetmonice producta
Lineage: Eukaryota; Metazoa; Annelida; Polychaeta; Phyllodocida; Aphroditidae
Description: tRNA-Asn
Source: RNAcentral
UAAAUGAAAGCCAAAGAAGCGGCAUCUAACUGUUAAUUAGAUUAAUGUUAUUAUUAACUCAUUUAG